Molecule: long non-coding RNA, 2023 nt
Organism: Macaca fascicularis (crab-eating macaque)
Lineage: Eukaryota; Metazoa; Chordata; Mammalia; Primates; Cercopithecidae
Source: Ensembl
UUUUUUUUUUUUUUUUUUUUUGCGGGGAACUGUGUGUGCACAACACAGCGAGGGAGUGACCUAGUCCAGGGAGCCGUCUCCCUUUGACACAGCAUGCAGAGGAAUAAAGACCCAGGCUCUAUCAUAAAAUGGGGGCAGGUAAAGAGCAGUUAGGCGAGGGGGCGUGGGCCAUCAGGGUAGGGGCCUCAGUAAACAGUGUUGAACAAGGGCCUCUCCCAGCCCCACCCUGGCUUUAAACCCCACGGUUUGUAGUUCAGCUCCAGAGGCCUCCCAGUGACCCCAAUCUCAUUCCUCUCGACUCAACAGUGAUGGCGGAAGGCAGGAAGAUAAGCUGGACUCCUUGAAGCCGACACCCCCCAGGGAAAUUCCAUCACCCGCCUUGAGCACUGUAGGCCGGGCUGGGGUAAGGGUGGGAUGUGGGGAGAAGGGCGGGGCUGGGGAGAUAAGAGCCUUCCGGGGUGGAGGAGGCAGCCAGUGAGGCCAGGGACUGCGCUGGGGCAGGGGCCGGGCUAGGGGGCAGGAUCCCAGCGGAAGGCCAUCUGCAGCCCUGGCCCUGGCUAAUGGGAUAUCCUGGUGGAAAGCAAGUGGGGAUCUAAUUAGGGUAAAAUCCAGGGCUAAUGAGCUGUGGAAACAACGGGACAAAGGAACGAUUCCCACAAGCUCAGGAUGCGACUCGGAGAGUCCACCUCAACUCGGCCUCCUUCCCAGCUUUUCUACCCCAGGGCCCUUCCUGGCUUCCUUCCUCCGCCUUCCUUGGCCUCAGACCUGCCGUGCGGCCACCGUGUCCCAGUGUCCAUGGCUCCCCCUCAGCUCCAGCUCUGCCUCUCUUCCCAUCCCUUUCGUUCUCUUUCCCUCUCCUUGCCCCUGGUUCUUCAGCCCACGUGUCCCUGGCGUCACCCUGCUGUUCUCGGUAUGCCUCGUUUCUUUGUUCUCCUCCUCCGGGAGUGGGAAGAGCUAGGCUCUGGGCUCCCGGGGUAGGCUGGGUGGCAAAGGGUGAACCCGGAAUGGUUGCCUAGGCAAUGAGGAAAGUAGGACAAACACCAACCAGCAAUCAGGAGAAAAGGGAAGCCCACGGAGGAGGGGACUGCGUCCCAGCCCAGCCUAGCCUGGAGACCUCCUUGCUAACCCUCAGCCCCACUGUCCCCAUCCUGGCUCAUCCCCAGAAGCUGGUCCAGAAGGAAGCUUGAGCGUCUCUGCAGGAGCUCCCGCCUGGCUCCCUCACAGCCGACAUUUGCGCAAGGCCUUUGGGCCAGAGCGAUUCCUGGGCGGCCUGCCUCCUCGCUGCGUGGCCUCUUUCUCAGCAGGCCCAGGGCAUAUUCCUUCUUCCAAAAGACCAGCCCAUCAGGGCAGCCCUAAGAGGGCACACGAGCAAGGCCAAGGAGGGCAGGGUCCUCACCAGGGCAGCUCCCUGCUGUUUCUGGCUGGGAAGCAGAGGACAUGCUGCUUCUUGUCGGCACCCAUGGCCAAUAGGUUUUGUGGAGGAGGAAGGAGGAACUAUGGGGCCUUCUCUGAUGGAAAGGAAAGGAAGAGGCUUGGGAUUGGGAGAAGCUGUGGGGAGGACUUCCAGAGGCUUCAGACGUGAGGCCCAGGCUGAGCCUCCUCAGUGAGGGCCACGGAUGCCUGGCACAGGAGGCGUUUCCAGGCAGGGAGGGAAAGAGACAAAGUGACUAAGGUUUGGGGACAUACCAUGGUGGUGGAGACAGCGUGGCUCACGCUGAGGCCUGAACAAAAAGCCUGAUGGGUACAGGUGCCCUUCAGGCCGGAAGGCGGGGGGCAGGGCGGCCAGCUGCCCCAGUCCUGAGUCAGGCGCUGAGCCAAAGGCCUUGCUUUCCAGGGCUCCAGCACAGGCUGCUCUCCUGGGGAGAACAGCAGCACCUGCGGCCUGCACCGUCCAAGCCAGGGGCCCCACCAGGGUGUGCCCAUGGCCACGCUUGUGCUCUGAGGACUCUCUGUGCCCCUCACCAAGAUGGGGUGAGAUUAUCUGCUUGUGCCACUACCCUGGCUUCAGGCCUAUGAACUCUGC